Molecule: ribosomal RNA, 497 nt
Filed under: uncultured bacterium
Lineage: Bacteria
Description: partial 16S ribosomal RNA
Rfam family: Bacterial small subunit ribosomal RNA
Source: RNAcentral
GAUGAACGCUGGCGGCGUGCCUAAUACAUGCAAGUCAAGCGAACAGACGAGGAGCUUGCUCCUCUGAUGUUAGCGGCGGACGGGUGAGUAACACGUGGAUAACCUACCUAUAAGACUGGGAUAACUUCGGGAAACCGGAGCUAAUACCGGAUAACAUGUUGAACCGCAUGGUUCAACAGUGAAAGACGGUCUUGCUGUCACUUAUAGAUGGAACCGCGCCGCAUUAGCUAGUUGGUAAGGUAACGGCUUACCAAGGCAACGAUGCGUAGCCGACCUGAGAGGGUGAUCGGCCACACUGGAACUGAGACACGGUCCAGACUCCUACGGGAGGCAGCAGUAGGGAAUCUUCCGCAAUGGGCGAAAGCCUGACGGAGCAACGCCGCGUGAGUGAAGAAGGUCUUCGGAUCGUAAAACUCUGUUAUUAGGGAAGAACAAAUGUGUAAGUAACUAUGCACGUCUUGACGGUACCUAAUCAGAAAGCCACGGCUAACUACGUG